CCAAUUGAUAUUCAAGUACCAAGCUAUUUCCAAGAUGGUUCUCUAGGUUAUCCUCAUAUGCUUCCAUUGAAUCCACAUUUUUAUGGGAAUUGGCAACCGAAAAUGUGGAAUGACAUCAGAAAUAGCAGUGAAUCUGUUGCUGCUGCACAAAAUAAUGAUACUCAGUUUCCUCAAGUGAGUAUACCUAUGUGUUAUGGUCAAGCAUCUUGGAAAUGGGAGGAUGUGAUGUGCAAUAAUAAUGUAAAUCCAUGGUUGAACUAUUUAGCUCCGGCUAUGCAGCCAAUGCCAGCGCCUUUUUUGCAGUAUCCGAUGAUGGUUGGUGUUCUUCCUGAAAUGCUUACUUCUCAAAACAAUGGGAUUACUGAUUUCCUUCAAAUGAAGGAGAAAGAUGCAGGGAAUUAGAUGUGGGAUUUUCUGAAGCUUCUUGGUUUAUUUCCUUUAUGUGUUGUUUUUACUAGGAUUUUAUUGUUCUAACAAGAUUUUUAUAUACUACAUGGUACAUAUCAUUUUGGCUAAAGCAUUAAUUUCGUCUCUUGGUGCGUGUGAGAUGUGCAAUAUUUCAUUUUAGAUUUCAUUUGUUUCCGUAAAAUAACUUGCACGAAAAAUAUUUUUCAUAAUUUUCCAUUGUUUAGAGCAUUCAAGAAAAUAAGUCAACGGAAAAUACUUUACUGGUCAAAGAAAAAUUAAAUCAUUUUUUAAUGAAAACAAUUUUACAUUUUCGAGAGAGUAAAAUAUUUUCCUAAUAUUGACAAACUUUAUAAAUUCAUAUUUUUUUAAUUUAUUAAUCAUCAUAGUCACUACCACGGUCACCAUUUAUCACCGACUACCACCACCGGUGGACACUACCACCGGCCACUGACAGCUUUCAUAAUUUAUAUUUUUUUUACAUUCUUCUCAUAUUUAAUAAUAAAAUUUUUAAAUUAUAAAAUUUUUAUUAUUAAUAAUAUUUUUUAUGGUCUUGUGAGAUAAAGACUUUAGUAUCUUUAACUAAUUUUCAAUAUUAUAAUCAAACAACGGAAAAUAAAUCAUUUGAAAAAUAUUUUUCAAAGAAAAUGUUUUUCAUAAAAAUAUUUUUUAGCAAGUUAUUUUUUUGCAAGUUAUUUUAUAGAAACAAACGGAUCAUUAGUGUAGAAUUUAUCAUUUCGCAUUUUCUAAUCAUAAAGCACAAAAAAAGCAAUCCAACAAGAAUACAGUUAAAUUUAAAAUUAUGUUUAUCCGAAUUAAAAUAUAUCAAUAAUAAUAAUCAACCCACAAAUUUGCAAAUUAAAUACGAUAAUCAAAUAAAUUAAGAUCAAAACUACUAAAACAAGAUGAUAACCAAAUAAAUUGGGUAUUAUUACCUCACUGAUUGGAUAAUCAAAUGCCAAAUAAAAUUCCCUUCUUGUUAGAAUCCGACUUCCUAUCAUUUGACAUUUGAGAAUUCAAAGAAUCUAAACUAACACCAUAUCCAACUCCACCUCCAUACCCAAACCCGAGUCCAA
Molecule: long non-coding RNA, 1481 nt
Filed under: Jatropha curcas
Lineage: Eukaryota; Viridiplantae; Streptophyta; Magnoliopsida; Malpighiales; Euphorbiaceae
Description: long non-coding RNA (JCUR_LNC001943)
Source: RNAcentral